CCGCGGCCAGCGGCAGCGCCACGUCCAUUUAAAGCCCUGGCUCUUUUAAAAGCGUGUCAAAAUACGCACCCGCGCGUUGGAGGACUCACCACUGGGGCAAGUAAAAGGAUCCCAAAACUGCAAGACAUCUGGAGGAGUGCCCAGACAAGAACUGGAUUGAGGGGGUAUGGUGAGAAGAAAUGGAAAUAAUACUGUAAAAAUGGAUUGAAGAAAUGGAGAAGCAAUAUUUGAGGAAAGGCGAAGUUGGAAACCUGGUGUGCUGCCCUGUGACACAUCCAGUCUGCUUCUGACCAUCUAAGAACAUGUCUUACUCACUGCUGUGACUGCUUGUUCAGACUCUGUGAGGUUAUGGUGAGAGAGUCUUCCCCAAAAUAUGGUCCUGGCUGGUGAGAUCUUGUUUCAUAAAUGGUGGAAAGAGGGCAGGAAUUCUUACAGACAAGCGUGCUGUUCCAGUUUUAUGAUAUUUUAAUUUUACGUGCAAAAAGACCCCAUAGUCUCAAGUCUGUCUGGAUAUCUCUAAGUCACGGGAAAUGACUGUAGCAAAUUUCACUCGUUCUUCAAAGAGAGAGUAUAUUCUCAGUCAUGCUGCCUCACCCUGCCAGUGCGCACACACUACAGCAUUGCCACAGGUAGGUGGUGGGGAAGGCAAAGGCCUUCCAAAGGUGUGUUGGUUAGUCCAGGUGAGCUAUGUACUAACGUGGCCAGGCCUUUCAAAGCAAGGGCUAGGACCUCUACCUGUUGCUGGGGACACCCUGAGCUGCUCUGAACUAGCUCUGGUGUCUGGGAUAAAGAAUAAAUUGCCACACUUGUUGAUAAGUGGUUUUAGCAGUGUCACUUUCUCAGUAACUUGGGAAAAAAUAUCUGAUGUAAGCCAGCAUGGAAAUGACACAACCAUAGCUGAGUGUUCAGACUACAAAAAAAAUUAAAAUAAGAGCUGUAUGUCCUGAAAAGAUAAAAUUGUUUGUGAAUUUUGGAACAUAAGGAGAUAAAACUUACUGGAAGAGUUGAAGAGUGACCAUAAUAUGGUGGUAAUACUACAGUUUAUUCUGCAGCUGCCACAAAAACACACAUUUAAAAAGAGGAUGUUUCCAGAAAUUUGCAUAUAGAAGCCAUGAUAUUUUAUUUUUAAUAAAAUACAUUAUUAACCUUUCUAUUUCCAUCUUGGCUUGCUCAGACAAACUUCCCCGAGUAUCUGAGAGAGCUCUACUCUGUAGAACCCACUUAGUAAUGCAUGUUGCAAACUUACCAUUCCAUUAUCAGUGUAAUAGUUGUUUUUUUUCCUAGAAAAACCUGGAUUUAUCUGGUGGAAAAAUAUGCAUGUGGGAGUUUAUCAAUGAUAAGGUCAGAAGAGGUUGUCACUCGUGCAGGUUUCGUCCUCUGCCCUCAUUGUCAUCAUCCCCCCUUACUGUGGUGGCUGAUGCAUCCAACACUUCAGCCAGUGUUCAUUUUAACUGCAAUUCCAAGGGGAUGAGCAAGAGCUACUUCUGCAAGCUUUCAGUAAAGUUCUGUAUUUGUGGAAAGCAAAGUGCUUUCUGUGACUGCUGUUGUACAUUUUCCCCACCACUUGCAAGCACAGAUUUUCCAUUAAAAGCUGAAGAGAGAGGAAGAAGGAGGAAUUCUGAAAUAAAUCCCACAUUUAGGUAUGGCCAAAUAAAUGUUAUGGGCUUUGAAUAUCUGGACAUCAAGAAGUUGCCUCUUCCUCAUCCAGGAGAGGUGCCUGUCAAGUAAGCCAAACUUCUGGGAUCUGUCCAACUUUUGGGAAGGAUGGAUGGAGGCAGGGCUAUGGGCAGAGGUAAAUAGUGUGUUCUGGCUUCCCUUGGGUGGUUGGGACCCUUCAGCUGUGCCUGCCAGCACAUAGGAACUUCAUGCAGUUUUCCCCAUUUUCCGCUGCUACUCUGGCCACCAUCAGGUGGUCUCAGCAUUCAGUGAAAGAAUCAAGUGUCUGCCUGGUACCAUGGAUAUCUGAGUGUUUUAAGAUGAAACAUACUGCUAAUCAGAACUAAAGAUAAGCCCUUUCCCCAGCCAUUUCUGGGCUGGCUUUUCAUGGAAACAGGUAAUCUAUCACUAGUGUUCACUAGGAGCUAUAAAACGGUGUGUGUUGUGAUGGUACUGAGACGGUCAGUGGGAAGGUGGCACUUGUAAGCUGCUGCAUCCUAUAAUGUCACUCACCACUCAGAAGGAAGCUGUUACUAGAAAGCCUCAGCAGACAUUAUUGCAUUAUCCAGCAGAAGAGGUGCCAUUAGUUAUUUUGGCUGGAGGGAAACGCCAUUAUGCUUCAGGACUCCUUUCCAGUCCCAUGUAUGUUAAAAAUUCAUGAUCAUUAUUUAGUUUAUCUUGAACUAAGCAUUACAAGGCACAGCGAAGCUAAGACAUUCUCAGGACCACAUGACAAAUCAUUGAUAGACCAAGGAAAAACAAUGGAAGGAAUCCAGGCCCACAGCCCGGCAAAGAUUCACCUUCUUUCCUUUCCAAACCUUACCCACUGAAACCACCCCACCAAAGAGAAAUGUCACAUAUUGCCCUGUUGAAGUCUGUCUGGAGGUCUCAUAGGCAGAACCUCAAAGUUGUGAAACUCCAGUUGUUCUCAGUGCCUGAAGAACUCCUUCCUUGACCCCAUCUCCUGCUGCUUACCAAGGAAACCCCAGGCACAGACACACAAGAAGUGGCUUUCACCAGUUGGAUCUCAAUACAGGUUGAUUUUACAGAGAAGGAAGAACCUCCAGCAAAUUUAAGUUUUGGCAGAGGAGCUCCAGUGGAACUUCCCUUUAGCAGCAGAUAAGGAAGCAGGACUACACAUGCUCACUGCUUUCUCUUCAAAUGAAAAGCCUUGUUCUGACCAUAAGUUCUGUGUGCUGGAUAAUAACAUAGUUUUGUAUUGACUGGCAUGUAGAGGUUGUGUGCUCACUACAUUUUCAGUUUAACAUAUCUUCCUCUGUCUCUGUCUGCAAGGGGAGCUAUUUCCCCCUCAGAAAAUAGCAAUCCAAAUGCAGGUUAUUUUUGCCAAACACUUCAGUAACAACAGCUCCUUUAAUUAACAGAGGAAAUGGUCCUAUAGGUCUCUAUAGGACCCCAUUUGGCUGUGGAAUUUAUUUCAUGUUCAGUGUGCUGGAGUAAAGGAACUUUAUUCAGAGUGUUUGUAUUUUAAAGCUUUUUUUCUCUGCUCUCAGGCACUGAAAAUGUGUUAUCUCUGUUUUCAGUGUGACAGACUGGUACUUAAUGUACCUCACAAGACACAAGACUGAAAAUCCUUUUGUAAAUAAAAUUAAUUCAGACUGGAUGCAACCAUUAUGCAGGAAUGAUUCAGAUAUUUGAUUUUUCCUACAAGGGAAAUUAUGUCUCAUGGACUAUAAAAAAUGGAAGAAAGUUAGUGGUGCUGUCUCUCACAGUCCUGAAAAGACUUUCCUCUAAUACAACACAAUUCAGGGAAGAUAUUGAAGUGAUUCUGCUCCAAGUGUAGAAGUAAGAGACCUUUGUGUAAUUUACUGAAUGGGAAAAUAUUUACUAUUACACAUUUUGCACCUUCAUGCUAGGAAGAGAAGAUGCAUUAUUUUGAUCAUUUCAGUGUAAAGUUUUGAGGAUUUGAAUAUGCUUGAAACGGAAGUAUCUAUAUUUCACUUUGUCACUGCUUUUUAUUCUGUGUAAGCAAAUAAUUGUCAGUUUACAAAUAUUGAAGAGACAAUCUAAGCCCAGGAUACUGACUAUUGAAGAGGUAGGCUUUCCUUACAGGUUACCCAUAGUCUUGGAAACCUUUUGUGGGCAGAGGUUUUGCUACCAUUGGUACACAUAGAAACAGUGUGGUUUUUUUUCGUGAUGAAAAAACAGACUCUGGAUUUCCAGGAAAGGAAUGGUACUGCUGCUUCCAGCUUUUACACUAUAACUUUCAGUAGAUUCAAGCCUUUUAGUUUGGGGUCACACCUCCUGGAUUAUUAAGAGGUGAGUUUAGAGUAAGUUGAGUUAGCCUUACCAUACCCAUUCUUCUCUACCUGGAAGUUGCAGCCCAGUAUUUUGGUGGCAGCUCUGUGAGAAAACCUGCCCACAGCCCUGAAUGAUUGUUUGCCAGCUGUCUUUUCUGCUGGCAUUAGUGUGCAGCCCUGUCCAAAAGCUGUUCCUGGAAAUGCAUUUACUGAGUACCCUUGUUGCAAAGGAAUAUAACAGCAUAACAAGUUAUAGCUAUAUUUUUCUUCAGUCAUCUUUGUCAGGCAGAAGAUUGGACUCUGUUUGCUGUCAGACUGUUACAAACUGGUAUACAUUACUAAUCUAAGUGUACUGAUAUGAGAACAUGUAUUAGACACUACAUCAUGCCAAAGGAAAGCUUUCUACAAUGCUAGAAUUCUGUGUGCUUUUGGCUUUUGUGUCCAGUUUCUGUCCUCUUCAUCACCAGAAGUGAGACACAUCACCCCUGAUGAAGUCUGUCUGGGCUCUCUGAGCAGUUAUCAUACUUCCUUGACUGCUGAAAGUGAGAAAUACUUCAGCCAAAAUUUGAAUAUAUUUUUGGAAUUAAAAUUCACAAUGUAGGUAAAAGAGACUCUGAAAUCCAGGAUAUUAAGCAGCAAGGCUUAACCUGGAGAGUUUGCAGAGUUUAAAGCUGGAGAGUUGUUCAGAGUCUUUAAGCUCUCCCUUAUUUAUUUGUAACAGUGAAAACUGAGGAAAACAAUAAGUUGGGUUUUUAAAAAAAAAUAUUUACAGGAAAGCAAAGUAGAGCAGCAACUGCCUAAGUGACUAUUUUACUAAUAAUAGCAGUUAUAUAAAUAUUAGAAUAUAACUCAGAAGUCACAUAUUCCUUGUGUACAAGUGUGAUGUUCUGUUCUGUAAGAAACUCUCUGUGUGUUUACACUCCUGUUCUCCAGACCCCUGCAUUAUAUAGAAGAUUUUCAAAAUAACUAGUUCCUUUUCAAAACUUGCAUAGACACAUAGGUCAAGCCCUCAUGUCUAGCUGAAGAGAUAUACACUGGAAUAAAACUCCCAUGUAUGAACUUCCAA
This is a non-coding RNA of Cyanistes caeruleus (blue tit), 4980 nucleotides long. Lineage: Eukaryota; Metazoa; Chordata; Aves; Passeriformes; Paridae. The record is from RefSeq and is a predicted model, not a curated record.